AGGGCAAGUCUGGUGCCAGCAGCCGCGGUAAUUCCAGCUCUCAAAAUGCAUAGAAUUAUUGCUGCGGUUAAAAAGCUCGUAGUUGGAUCUGUGCUAGCCGUCCGGUGCACACUUUGUGUGUUACUGGUUCGGUUGGCUUUUCUGCCGGUCUCUCCCCGGCGUUGGCCUUAACCGGUCGGCGUCGGUGGGCUGGCGAGUUUACUUUGAACAAAUCAGAGUGCUUCAAACAGGCGUUUCGCUUGAAUGUUCGUGCAUGGAAUAAUAGAAGAGGAUUUCGGUCCGAUUUUAUUGGUUUUGCUGACCGAGAUAAUGGUUAACAGAGACAAACGGGGCCAUUCGUAUUGCUACGUGAGAGGUGAAAUUCUUGGACCGUAGCAAGACGGACUACAGCGAAAGCAUUUGGCAAGAAUGUCUUCAUUAAUCAAGAACGAAAGUCAGAGGUUCGAAGGCGAUCAGAUACCGCCCUAGUUCUGACCGUAAACGAUGCCAACUAGCGAUCCGCCGGCGGAUUUAUUCGCCCUGGUGGGGAGCUUCCCGGAAACGAAAGUCUUCCGGUUCCGGGGGAAGUAUGGUUGCAAAGCUGAAACUUA
Molecule: ribosomal RNA, 590 nt
Filed under: Heterodera mediterranea
Lineage: Eukaryota; Metazoa; Nematoda; Chromadorea; Rhabditida; Heteroderidae
Description: SSU rRNA
Rfam family: Eukaryotic small subunit ribosomal RNA
Source: RNAcentral